This is a non-coding RNA of Chlorocebus sabaeus (green monkey), 891 nucleotides long. The record is from RefSeq and is a predicted model, not a curated record. NCBI's taxonomy places the organism in Eukaryota, Metazoa, Chordata, Mammalia, Primates, Cercopithecidae.
UGGGCGACAGAGAGAGGCUCUGUCUCAAACACACACACACACACACACACAAUACAACAAAACAAAACAUAAAACAAUAGUAGACCAUUGAGCUGUGGAACAUACGAGGAAACUUACCCAGGAAGAUGAGGUUGUGAGUGGCUUAUUUUGGGAACUUCUGAAAGUUGCUGCCUAGGACCUGUGAGUGGAUAGCUCAGCUGGGCUCACAGUCUCCAGACUCACUCCACGCUCUUCAUAAAUCCAUCAAUCCUGAACCAAUUCCGUCCCAAACAUGCCCAAUCCUAACCAAGCCUGCUAAAGACUCACCUUAAGCCAGACCCCAACACCUUCCACACGCCCACCCUUAGCCCUCCUUCCCCUCAGACCCUGUGAAGACCCUCAGGCGGGUUCCGGCACCAGCUGUCGCGCCCCCUCAGACCCUGUGAAGACCCUCAGGCGGGAUUCCGGCUCCGGCAAUGGCGCCCCCUCAGACCCUGUGAAGACCCUCAGGUGGGUUCCGGCUCCAGCUGUUGCGCCCACUCAGACCCUGUGAAGACCCUCAGGCGGGAUUCCGGCUCCAGCUGUUGCGCCCACUCAGACCCUGUGAAGACCCUCAGACCCUGUGAAGACCCUCAGGCGGGUUCCGGCACUAGCUGUCGCGCCCCCUCAGGUCCUGUGAAGACCCUCAGGCGGGUUCCGGCUCCGGCAGUGGCCCCCCCUCAGGUCCUGUGAAGACCCUCAGGCGGGGUUCCGGCUCCAGCAAUCGCGCCCACUUGGCUGUGUCAAUGACCCGUGGCUUCCUGGCUGUCUGGGGAGCUAGCGCUUUCACACUUAAAGAGCAUAUUUCUAUAAAUAGUUAUACAUUUUGUUUGUUUUGAGACAGGGUCUCGCUCGGUUGCCUAGGCUGUAGUG